AGACUCUCGGCAACGGAUAUCUCGGCUCUUGCAUCGAUGAAGAACGUAGCGAAAUGCGAUACUUGGUGUGAAUUGCAGAAUCCCGUGAACCAUCGAGUCUUUGAACGCAAGUUGCGCCCGAAGCCAUUAGGCUGAGGGCACGCCUGCCUGGGUGUUGCACA
This 161-nucleotide ribosomal RNA is filed under the name Cytisophyllum sessilifolium. RNAcentral's name for it is "5.8S ribosomal RNA". It matches the Rfam family "5.8S ribosomal RNA". From Rfam's summary of the family: 5.8S ribosomal RNA (5.8S rRNA) is a component of the large subunit of the eukaryotic ribosome. It is transcribed by RNA polymerase I as part of the 45S precursor that also contains 18S and 28S rRNA. The record is from RNAcentral. Lineage: Eukaryota; Viridiplantae; Streptophyta; Magnoliopsida; Fabales; Fabaceae. RNAcentral also lists the same sequence under 62 other names.